AAAUCUUACCGGGUCCGGACACUCUGAGGAUUGACAGGCGUUUGUGGUUUCUCCCUUGUUGGAGUUUCCACUAUAAAUAUGCUAGUCCUUUCAUGAUUGUGUGAUAGGUGGUGCAUGGCCGUUCUUAGUUCGUGGAGUGAUCUGUCUGCUUAAUUGCGUUUCACAAAGGACUUUCUAACUUCCGUCAGUUGCACGGUGGCCUCCGUGUCGCCUGUUGCACUGCGGAGAAAAAGUCCUGAAGGCAACGAACGUGACCGCAACCUCUUGUUGCCUCCUUUUUUAUAAAACAUGAACUUCAGUAUGUACUUCGGUCAUCUGUUGUUCUGCACGGAGUUUUUGCAAACUAGAGGGACCGCUGACAACUUUUAAAACAGAGGAAGGUUGCGGCAAUAA
RNAcentral lists this ribosomal RNA (393 nucleotides) under uncultured marine eukaryote. RNAcentral describes it as "SSU rRNA". It matches the Rfam family "Eukaryotic small subunit ribosomal RNA", at positions 1210 to 1456 of the family's 1831-position model. The record is from RNAcentral.